This is a long non-coding RNA of Octodon degus (degu), 264 nucleotides long. RefSeq lists it as uncharacterized. The record is from RefSeq and is a predicted model, not a curated record. The transcript has 3 exons. Lineage: Eukaryota; Metazoa; Chordata; Mammalia; Rodentia; Octodontidae.
UGGAAGGUCACAGGCAAGGCAGAGCCCUAGCAGACCCAUCCUCUUUGGGUUCCGCCUGUCCUUUGGGAUGAGCAGGAUAGCAGAUCAAAGGCUGAAUAGACAGGCAACUACAAGAAGAUAGCUGAAUCAUACCUGCUGCCAGCACUGGGGCUUAUCUGCCAACUCACCUCCAGACAACAGAAGGGUAAAAAACCCCCCAAAAAAACCAAAACCUGUGCCUGACCUUUCCCAUCUUCCUGAUAAUGUUCACAAAGGACAUCCAGU